UCUGAAGUUCCUUCUCUUACUCCUGGAGUCUGCAAUGUGGAGUUUUCGGUUCUAGAGCUUUGAGGAUUGCUAGGGCCUACUUGAGAAACAGUCUGGAAGCCAAGGCUCUCCCUAUGCUGGUGUUUGGGGACUUGCUGGUUCUGUAUGGUGCGCCUGAGCACAUGGUAUAGUUAGCUAUUUUGACUGAACUUGGGGCUCAAGGUCAGGGUGACUCAAGCAGACUCUCCCUUGGCAAAACUAGGGCUAGUAUGUACCUUUAUGGGGAAUGUUUUUCUAUAAAAAUUCCUAUGGGUGCUUUAGUUAUUCACGGCUGUGAUGAAAUGCCUCAGCAAGACAAUUGAAAGGAAGUAGUUAUUUUGGCUCACGGCCUUAGAGGUUUCCAUUGGAUUCUUUGGCUUUAGCUGGCUUCUGGGCCUGUGGGGAGGCAGAGAAUCACUGUGAAAGGGAAGGAGAAGCAAAGCCAUUCCCUCGAUGCAUGGUGGCUGGGAUGCAGAAAGAGACAGGAGAGACUGGGCAUGAAAACCCUCCUUAAGUGCACGUCUCUGGGAACUAACGUCUUUCAACUUGACCCUCACUUCUGUAUUUCUACUUCCUCCCAACAGUCUCUUCAGAAUCUAAAUGCAUAAAUGUGUCUGUGGCUAUGCGGCAUGAGACACAAACCACAAGGCCCCCAGUAGCCUGAAGCAUCCCCUUAUUCUUCAGGGACCUUCACUCAUGUGAAGCCAUCUUUGACUUCACUACAGAAAACAAUUUCAAGAUGAGCCAGAACGAAGCAGAGUUGGGUUUAUUAAAAAUGUAAAGAGUAUUUAGCAUAGUUUUAAACAUAUGGGGUUACUAUAAAAAGAUGCCCAGAGAGGAAGAAGAUAUCCAGAGAGGGUGGUGUGGGCUUCUUCAAGGACAAUAGCUCUUAAGUAUCUUAGCCAUCCCCAAAAGUCCUGCUUGGCUGCUCUCAAGUUACAGCUCGCAUGAUUACUAAGAGCAGACACCCCCUCCCCAUCUGUAUCUUUUUGAUAAGUGAAAUUACCAGAUGGCUCCAUAUGAUUACAAUAUUAUAAAAAUAAUCCAUGAGCCACAAGGCUGCAAGGAUGAAGGCAUGCAUGUCUUUCACUGCCAGGGGAACUUCUAGUGAAAUUCUGAGAAAACGUACAGCUUUCAGUUGGGACAGGAGAAAGGUUGUGCACACAUAGCAUGACUUGUUACUAUCUUAAUAUUGUCAUUUAAAUAUUUCUCUAUAAAAUGUCUCUGAAUGCCUUUGCAGCAAAUGUCAAUUGUGCUUGACUUCUUGAGCUGGUGAGAGUCUUUGAGCAGAUCGGGGUGAGGGGUUCCUUUCCUACAUUUCCAUAACUUGCCUUGUUUUUCUGUCCUGCCUAAUAUGAGUUAAGCUGUUGCUUUGUUUAAAGCUCUCAUGAUCUGAUCAUCUCUGGAAAUACUCUUACAGACACAUAGGGAUUGUCAUGUCCUAAUUUCCUUGGUGUCUCUCAAUCGAAUUGAAUUGAUAAACAAGAUUGACCACCAUACCACGUUACUAAGUAGAUACAAAGAGGGACAAUGUAUGUGUGUGUGUGUGUGUGUGUGUGUGUGUGUGUGUGUGUGUGUGUGAUGGAGUAACAGGAUGAAUAGCAGCCCAUUGGAGGUUGCAAUAAAAAAAUACACAUGGGCAGCUGAGCCUCUGGGUCUAGCAGAUGGUUUGAUCAUGACUAUAAGUAAGCAAUCUACACAAGAAUGAUCAGCCAAGGCUCAGGGGACCACAGUGGUUGUGACAUGUGAGCUGUAACUUAAGAACAAUCACAGAACAGUGGCUGAUACAAUUCCAGUGUGCAUACCUUAGGAGCCCAGAUCUUCAGAGCAGUGAGGAGGCAGGUGUAAGCUGAACAUAUUUUCAGGAGAUCUCAGAGCCAGAUGUUGAAGGCUCAGUAGAUAUAGGUCAGCACAUGACAGAGGCUUCAUGGGAGCAAGAGAUGUGAUUGGUAUUGAGUCAGGUCC
This 1983-nucleotide long non-coding RNA is filed under the name Mus musculus (house mouse). Its description in RNAcentral is "long non-coding RNA chr11:34066247-34068230". Lineage: Eukaryota; Metazoa; Chordata; Mammalia; Rodentia; Muridae. The record is from RNAcentral.